RNAcentral lists this small RNA (329 nucleotides) under uncultured bacterium. RNAcentral describes it as "bacterial SSU rRNA". It matches the Rfam family "Bacterial small subunit ribosomal RNA", at positions 42 to 358 of the family's 1533-position model. The record is from RNAcentral.
GCGUUCCUAACACAUGAGAGUCGAACGCGAAAGCCCCGCAAGGGAUAAGUAGAGUGGCAAAUGGCCGAGUAACGCGUGGGUGACCUGCCUUCGAGCGGGGGAUAACGUUCCGAAAGGGACGCUAAUACCGCAUGACAUCCUGCCUUUCAAGAGGUGGAGAUCAAAGCUGGGGAUCGCAAGACCUAGCACUCGAAGAGGGGCCCGCGUCCGAUUAGCUAGUUGGUGGGGUAACGGCUCACCAAAGCGACGAUCGGUAGCCGACCUGAGAGGGCACACGGCCACACUGGCACUGAAACACUGGCCAGACUCCUACGGGAAGGCACAGUGGG